GCCUGCAGACAUCAGAAAUGUGGUUUUGAAUCACAAGAAGAAAUCAAGACUAAUAGUGGAAAAGCCUGAAAUGUCUUGCAUAGAGCUGGACUGUUUGCAGCUCAGGAUGUUUGCCAUCACAACGGCAGAGCCGCAGUUCACACCCAGGCACGUUCUCCCCAAGACCUGUGGCUGCAACCACUGCUAUGCAUGGAAUGUGAGACGGACGGUGCUCGCCUAGCCAACAGUUGAUGCUGAAUACAUCUUCAUCUGUGUAUUGACCAUCUACCCUUUUCCCAUGAUUUGUUUGUCAAAAUUCCUUGCUAAUUUCCUUAUUAAAAAUGGUCAGUAUUUUAAUUCUCCUGAUUCAUGAUAAUUUCUUUGACAAGGAAAUUAAUACUUUGUUAAAUGAGUACAAAUAUUUUUAAACAAUCUGUUUUACUUUUAAUCUUUGUUUAUGGUGAUAUUUUGGGCAUACAAAGGUCUUUAAUAUCCAUGUUAUUAAAUUCACAAAUAUUUCCCUUUGUGGAUUUUGGGUUUCAGUUUAUAAUUCUAAACAUAUUCUCCACUCCAUGAUUACAAAAUAAAAAUAAAACAACACUGGUAUUUUAA
RNAcentral lists this long non-coding RNA (591 nucleotides) under Homo sapiens (human). RNAcentral's name for it is "HSALNT0353526". Lineage: Eukaryota; Metazoa; Chordata; Mammalia; Primates; Hominidae. The record is from RNAcentral.